GUGCUCACUUUGGUAGCACAUAUACUAAAAUUGGAACAAUAAAGAGAGCAUUAGCAUGGCCCCUGUGCAAGGAUGACAUGCAAAUUCAUGAAGCAUGCCAUAAUUUU
Apodemus sylvaticus (European woodmouse) is the source of this 107-nucleotide small nuclear RNA. Lineage: Eukaryota; Metazoa; Chordata; Mammalia; Rodentia; Muridae. The record is from RefSeq and is a predicted model, not a curated record.